Molecule: transfer RNA, 75 nt
Filed under: Puniceicoccales bacterium
Lineage: Bacteria; Pseudomonadati; Verrucomicrobiota; Opitutia; Puniceicoccales
Description: tRNA-Gln
Rfam family: tRNA
About the family: Transfer RNA (tRNA) molecules are approximately 80 nucleotides in length. Their secondary structure includes four short double-helical elements and three loops (D, anti-codon, and T loops).
Source: RNAcentral
UGGGUUGUAGCCAAGCGGCAAGGCAACAGGUUUUGAUCCUGUCGUGCGAAGGUUCGAAUCCUUCCAACCUAACCA